GGACCAGACUCCUACGGGAGGCAGCAGUGGGGGAUACUGCACAAUGGGGGGAACCCUGAUGCAGCGACGCCGCGUGGGUGAAGGAGUGCUUCGGCAUGUAAAGCCCUAUCGGCAGGGAAGAAGCAGGACGGUACCUGACUAAGAAGCCCCGGCUAACUACGUGCCAGCAGCCGCGGUAAUACGUAGGGGGCAAGCGUUAUCCGGAUUUACUGGGUGUAAAGGGAGCGUAGACGGCGAAGAAAGUCUGAAGUGAAAGCCCGCGGCUCAACCGCGGAAUGGCUUUGGAAACUUUUUUGCUGGAGUACCGGAGAGGUAAGCGGAAUUCCUAGUGUAGCGGUGAAAUGCGUAGAUAUUAGGAGGAACACCAGUGGCGAAGGCGGCUUACUGGACGGUAACUGACGUUGAGGCUCGAAAGCGUGGGGAGCAAACAGGAUUAGAUACCCGCGUAC
This 449-nucleotide ribosomal RNA is filed under the name uncultured bacterium. Its description in RNAcentral is "bacterial SSU rRNA". It matches the Rfam family "Bacterial small subunit ribosomal RNA", at positions 328 to 793 of the family's 1533-position model. The record is from RNAcentral.